RNAcentral lists this ribosomal RNA (253 nucleotides) under uncultured bacterium. Its description in RNAcentral is "partial 16S ribosomal RNA". It matches the Rfam family "Bacterial small subunit ribosomal RNA", at positions 524 to 776 of the family's 1533-position model. The record is from RNAcentral.
UACAGAGGUCUCAAGCGUUGUUCGGAUUCAUUGGGCGUAAAGGGUGCGUAGGCGGCGCGGUAAGUCGGGUGUGAAAUCUUGGAGCUUAACUCCGAAACUGCAUUCGAUACUGCCGUGCUUGAGGACUGGAGAGGAGACUGGAAUUUACGGUGUAGCGGUGAAAUGCGUAGAUAUCGUAAGGAAGACCAGUGGCGAAGGCGGGUCUCUGGACAGUUCCUGACGCUGAGGCACGAAAGCGUGGGGAGCGAACGGG